Long non-coding RNA from Pongo abelii (Sumatran orangutan), 3513 nucleotides. Lineage: Eukaryota; Metazoa; Chordata; Mammalia; Primates; Hominidae. The record is from Ensembl.
UGCCACUUUUGUAUUUUAUUGUGGAACUGAGUUUUUUUUUUUCCUUUACAUCAAAUAUCCUCAAUGGAAGAGGGGAUAUUGCACACAAAUAUCAUAAAAGCACUACAUAUUACUUUCACUGGAAACUAAUUUUCUACAUUAGAUAUGACUGGAUAGGAUAGAACUGCAGACUGACACAAACACCAUUCAGAACAAGAGAGAGGAGUGUGAAGUGCUUCUCAGCCGGGCUCAAGACCACUUCUUUCCAGUGCUGGAAAGAGGGGCUGCAUGCAGUGUAGGAAAAGCGUGUCUCUGAACUGCCACAGGGUGUUCUCGAAAGGGCAGCCCGGUCUUGGUGCCACUUCUCCAUGGCUCCUGUUUUGGGGAGCUCCAAACAAGUGCAGAGAAGCUGCCUAUUUUUUCCCUUCCUUUUCAGUUUUUGAUGCUGCCUUUAAAAAUCAACUUCAUGAAGUCACAGAUUUUUUAACAGUAAAUAGUUUUAAUACCAGGUGAAUAACCUAAUUGCUUUCAAAGAAAUGCUCAUCCCUAGGCUGCUUUUGGUGUAUUGUUCAGUUGGUUAAAAGAUAAAAGCUUACAGUUCCUUUCAAAUGGAAACAGGAUCUUUUCUUCUAAAUCUGAAGCACAAAAAAAAAAAGUUAUUAUCCUAACUCACAAUAUCAUUACUGAGCAGGAACCUCCUGUGACAGGUGACUAAAGAGAGGCAAGAAAAGCAAAUUCAGAAUUGUAGAGCAGCUCCUAAGAGCUGAAAUUUGGUAAUAGAGGGAAAAUGAAAGGUGGUAAGAUUUCCAUUAGCAAAUGAUUAAAUCUUAAUUAAAUGAGUAUUGGAAAGCUCCUAGACUGCAUAAGCUAUUGGAGACACUUAAAACAUUCAUAUACACUGGGGAAACCAUUCACUAUGAUAUGUAACGUUAAGAAAAAAAAUUUCUUUGAACUCCAUGGAAAAUAGUGUUUAAAGAGGGGAGGAGGGGAAGUUAGUCAUUGUAUCCAGUCCCACCACAAGACUGAGAAAGCAUGCACAGGGCUCAGGGUUUUGAGAAAGGGGACAGAAUUGGUUAAAAUUGAAAAUGGAGGAUCAUCUCUAACAUUUAGUCUCUGUAGAAUUUUGUUUAAGAAUACUACCAAAAAGGUCAUGAUCAUGAGUGCUAUCUCGAUAGAAUCCCAUCAUUUAAACAGAGUGUAAAUUCCUUCCACUCAAAUAUUCAAUCUAUACAAUUGGAUUAAGUAAUCAGUAUGAACAAAGCUCCUAGAAGUCUGUGUCGAUCUUUAGCUCUCACCAUAAAUGUACAUGGUACAUUGUGAUGGCUGUUACUAAACUAAUCGUGUAUUUAUGGAACUAGCAAAAUUAGGUUAGUCACACAGGCAGGAAAGGUGUCUGGAAGGACAGGAGCAACCUGUAAUGCGAAUAUUGGUUUUCUUGGUAUACUCAGGCUCUGUGGUCAUUAUUGAGAACAAUGGAUGGAGAAAGGUACUGAUAGAUUUCAUAGGAAAAAGAGCCAGCUGACUAGUGACAGUUUUUACAUAUUUUUCCCAUUAAAUCCCAUAGCAAAAAAAAAAAAAAAAAGAGAGAGAGAGAGAGAGAGAAAUUGAGGAGGGUGGAGUGGUUAUAACUGAAGACUGGCUAUAAUUCUCCUACAAUGUUUAUAGUUUGUAAAGCAAAAUAAUGUUCAUGUUAAAUACAUUUAAUUUGUGAAAUUGGAAAAUAACUUGCAUCUUCUGUCAAAGAAAAAUCAACCAGAGGUCUGGAUUUGGCAAGAAGGCUAAAAAUCUGGUUUUCUUCCCACGCAUUAUGUAGACCAAUUCAACUUAAGAGCUAACCAUUAAAUAAUUAUCUUGAGUAUCUUAGGUUGUCUUAUAAAAUAAAUUUGAAGUAGAUCAGUUUAUACUCAAUGAAAUUCAUUUGCGUCACAAUGACUUUUCCAUCAUGUGUUAAUUUCUUGUACCCUUAAUAUGUUAUUUUUCAAGGACUUGAAAGAAGUGGGGUAAUAAAUAAAAGCUGCAUUUCUAGAGAAGCCUAACAAAAAUAGAAUAUUAAUUUUCUUUAAAAAAUUAAACAUUUGAAAAAUGUAAUUCACAGCAUUAAGUAGACUGCAUAGGUCCUCAGUGAAAGGACCCUGAAGAAGCAUUUUUUUAAACCCUCAUCGUAGUUAGCAGUGCAAAACGUAGACUUAUCAGACAAAAAUAAACUAAAAUGUUAAUUUUGAAAUAAAUAACUAACAUAGAAAAUAAAAUGAGGUCAUUGUUCUCUACUCCGUAGAUCUUAGAGUCUGCAGGAAAUGUAAUGUGACAGAGCACAGCACAGUUGUCACGGAGAAGUUUGCCGCAUCUGAACACUGGGUGCAUUGAUCUGCAACUUGAAACUUGAUGUCAGUUUUAAUCAUAAUCUGGCUUCCCAGGUUCACAGUUCAAUGAUGACAAUGAUGGAAAUUUUCUCUAAACUCUACAUGAACCGUAGGAGUUGAGAAUUCAUUUGUUUUCAAUGUACUAUUUCUUUUAUUUUUUUUCCAGAAAAGAAAAUCCCAAAGCAAAUUUGUGCUAGGGUUCUUUGAACUUGGCUCUUUUACCUCAUGGUUGAAGAUCUUGAAAGAAGUAUGUAGGAUACCACUGGGUGAUGUACUUGUCAAGGCCCUGAAAAGUAGCCUACCAUGCCAUUCUCCCCCACUCUCAAGUAGCACUUUUAUGUUAUGGGAAUCAAGGGGUGGGAGGUAACAUUAUUCCUGGUAGUUAUGGGUUUUUAAUAAAUAUCAUUACUGCAAUAUCAGACUUCAAUCUUGCCAGAACUUCAAAAAACAUUAUUCAAUUUUUGUCUUACGAAACACUUAAAAAAAAGACUAUCACUUGAGAAUUUUCUCUGCAAUUUCAUGUAAAUGAAAACGUGUUAAAAAGUUCAUCUAUGAAAAGUUCUCACAUAUCUUAAAAAAAAAAUUCUUCUGUACACUUGUUCCCAUUAUUAUGUUGAAAUUAAUGGAAAAUUUAAAAAGCCAAUGUAAGACAAAGGAAGGUAAAUACUGUACACUUGCUGAGAACCUCUUCCACCAUAAAAUUCACUGUUUUCCCAGUUCUGAUCAUAGAAGCCAUUUCAGUCUUGAACUUGCAGUAGUAAAGAAGCUGUGAAAGGCACAACUUGUUUGACUGAGAGGCCACAGGUGCACUGAAGUGGGAUUCAACACGCAUGACUCAGCAUCAAACUGUUGGACCAAUCAGAUCAGCUUCUAGUACCCCCACACACGCUCACCCACGUGCUCCUUUAAGUAUCUAUAAUCCUAUGUGGAUGUUUUAUAAACUUGCUGUCUCACAUUAAAAAAUAAGUGCAUCAAGUAUCUUUGUACAUUCAAGUCACUUCCUAAGGCAAAUUGUCUACCAUAUGUACUCCCAACUGCUUUGGUAUUUGCUUCAGUUAAUUGGGGUGGACUUGGGUGUUGCUGCAUGCAGGUUAAUCGACUCAGAGUGGACUAAGUGGGUGGACAAAUGCUGGGAGCAUGCCUUAGAUCAAUCUACUUGUGUGUUUAGAGUCUG